RNAcentral lists this ribosomal RNA (350 nucleotides) under uncultured bacterium. Its description in RNAcentral is "bacterial SSU rRNA". It matches the Rfam family "Bacterial small subunit ribosomal RNA", at positions 356 to 722 of the family's 1533-position model. The record is from RNAcentral.
AGGGAAUUUUCCACAAUGGACGAAAGUCUGAUGGAGCAACGCCGCGUGCAGGAUGAAGGCCCUUGGGUUGUAAACUGCUUUUAUGUGCGAAGAUUAUGACAGUAACACAUGAAUAAGGGUCGGCUAACUACGUGCCAGCAGCCGCGGUAAUACGUAGGAUCCAAGCGUUAUCCGGAAUUACUGGGCGUAAAGAGUUGCGUAGGUGGCAUAGUAAGUAAGAAGUGAAAGCGUUCGGCUCAACCGAAUAUACAUUUCUUAAACUGCUAAGCUAGAGAACGAGAGAGGUAGAUGGAAUUCCCAGUGUAGGAGUGAAAUCCGUAGAUAUUGGGAGGAACACCGAUGGCGUAGGC